RNAcentral lists this ribosomal RNA (459 nucleotides) under uncultured bacterium. RNAcentral's name for it is "bacterial SSU rRNA". It matches the Rfam family "Bacterial small subunit ribosomal RNA", at positions 28 to 507 of the family's 1533-position model. The record is from RNAcentral.
GAUGAACGCUGGCGGCGUGCCUAAUACAUGCAAGUCGAACGGAGAUUGUAGCAAUACGGUCUUAGUGGCGAACGGGUGAGUAACGCGUUGGUAACCUGCCCCGAAGCGUGGGAUAACGGUCCGAAAGGACCACUAAUACCACAUGUGAUCCCGAGGAAUAGAUACUUGGGAUGAAAGGAGCAAUUCGCUUCGGGAGGGACCUGCGUCCCAUCAGCUAGUUGGUAGGGUAACGGCCUACCAAGGCGAUGACGGGUAGGGGACCUGAGAGGGUGGCCCCCCAAAUGGAACUGAAACACGGUCCAUACACCUACGGGUGGCAGCAGUAGGGAAUAUUGGUUAAUGUGCGAAAGCGCGAACCAGCAACGCCGCGUGUGCGAUGAAGGCCUUCGGGUCGUAAAGCACUUUUUGCAGGGAAGAGGAAGGACGGUACCUGCAGAAUAAGUCUCGGCUAACUACGUG